This 1024-nucleotide long non-coding RNA is filed under the name Nicotiana tabacum (common tobacco). Its description in RNAcentral is "long non-coding RNA (NTAB_LNC007551)". Lineage: Eukaryota; Viridiplantae; Streptophyta; Magnoliopsida; Solanales; Solanaceae. The record is from RNAcentral.
GGAAUUUUGGCACAAAAAACCUUCAAUAGAGAGACUGACCUUCUUGAUUAUAUUUUUCUGAUUUUCUCCUCCUUAAGCAAAAACCAAGGAAAUAGAAAAACAACAAAGAGAUGUCUAAGAUGAUUGUUCUUUACUUAAUCUGAUGGUCUAUCUCUAUUUCUGCUGGGUUUACUGAUUUGAGCUGAGAGUCAUAGCAUUUUGGUUUCUUGUUGUUUCUUGUUGUUGUUUACUGUUCUCUGUUGUACUCGUGGAUCUCAAAGAUACCUUUUCUUAUUCUGUUCACCUAUUGUAUUCAGGUACUUCUUUUGAACCAUGAAUGGCAAAUGGAAUGUGAACAUGCUUGUGCGGAAGAUGUACUCAUGCUGAAAUUAAUGGAGUUAUUCAUGUUGAACUUCAACCUUCAUGUUCUUUUAAGCUAUUCAGCUUUUUUCUCUGACUUUUUCCCUUUUUAGCUCUCAGCUAAAAAUGAUAAUUUUGUUGUUGUAGUCAAUGGUUAGUUGGUUGUUCAAUAUCAAAUGCUUAGUAGUUCAUUUUUAUGUGCUGGAUUUGCUUGAGAAUUUAGUUCGUUGAAGACAAGUGUAUAAACAGCACGUCCUUGUGAGCUUGUCAUGCAUUUAAUUAGUUUCACUUGAUAAGCUUAAGAUCUAGGUGUCACCUAACUGAUCCCACAUGCUAAUUGAGUCUUUGUUGCAUUGAUUUGGUAAAGUAAGUGAUGUAUAGUAAAUGUUUGCAUUGAGCUAUGCGAUGCCUGUUUAGAGUUGGAAUUUUACAAGCUAAAGACUAAACCAGGUGGUGAUACCAUUUGUCAUAAUUACUUUUAAAUCAAUUAGUGCAUUGUUAGUUUUGUUGUAUUCAGAACUCAUAUUCAUUGCUUUGAGUUAAUGUCAUUUAAUGUGUUUGUAUUGCUAGUGAGCUUGUGGGGUUUUAAUUUUAAUUUCACUGAUGGUGUGUGAUCUGGUUUCAACCUUCCCUUUUUUAACUUGUGCAACACUAAUUUUUGAAUGAUAUACUUUAGUUGACUUUU